AAGCGGCCGUAGCUGCCGUGCGUUGUAGGCGCUGCUCCGCUGGCCUGCUAGCAGCAGCAGCAGCAGCAGCAGCAGCAGCAGCAGCAGCAGCAGCGUGGAUGCGGCGGUUGUUCCCCCCCAUACCAUUACCAGCCUCCGUAGUACUAGUAGUGGUCGGAGUAGCAGAGGCGGCGGCGGCUGCUUCUCCCCGGCGGCCGACUCCUUCAUCAUCGUCGUCGCCGCCUUUUUCACGAAGCAGCCGUUUUCUUUUGCUGCUCCCCGCCGCCGCUUCGUCACUGGUACCUGUUCCGUUGUGGCCUCCGUGGCUGCGGCAGUUUUGAUGUGGCUGUCGUUAGCGCCGCCGGUUGCAGUCGACCGUGCUGCCGCUCCAGUAGUCGCAGUGGCGCUGAAGAAGCGGCGGCUAGCGUCGACGAGGUUCAAAGAACAGCCGUUCGACCUCGAGCAUCGAGGACGGCUCGUCGCCGGUUGGAAAAAGAAAAAGCAGCUUCACCAGUGCACAAGGCGUCGUCCUACUACGCAUGCCGAUGUGCUUUCGACACGCAGACACUGUUGUCGGCGCAAUGAGCGGUAGUAGCAUUCGAACUGCUGCUGUACGCGCAGGAAAGUA
RNAcentral lists this unclassified non-coding RNA (607 nucleotides) under Trichuris trichiura (human whipworm). RNAcentral describes it as "sequence contains ITS1". The record is from RNAcentral. Lineage: Eukaryota; Metazoa; Nematoda; Enoplea; Trichinellida; Trichuridae.